GACUUCAAGACCCAAGGCUGGGCUGUUAAUGUGCAGAGGUUCCAGCUCUCAGGUAAGUACAGAGUUCAAUACACAGGUGAGUAUUCACAGGGCUGGGCUGUUAGCGUGCCGGGGUUCUAGCUCUCAGGUAAAUACAGUGUUCGAUACACAGGUGGGUAUUCACAGGGCUGGGCUGUUAGCGUGCAGGGGUUCUAGCUCUCAGGUAAGUACAGCGUUCAAUACACAGGUGAGUAUUCACAGGGCUGGGCUGUUAGCGUGCCGGGGUUCUAGCUCUCAGGUAAAUACAGUGUUCGAUACACAGGUGGGUAUUCACAG
Long non-coding RNA from Carassius gibelio (silver crucian carp), 315 nucleotides. RefSeq lists it as uncharacterized. The record is from RefSeq and is a predicted model, not a curated record. The transcript is spliced from 3 exons. Lineage: Eukaryota; Metazoa; Chordata; Actinopteri; Cypriniformes; Cyprinidae.